UGUAUUUCCACUCUCUUAGUCAAUUCAUGCUUUACAUAAACAAUUGUGGUUUGACCGCUAACAACCGGUUCGGUGUCGUUUCGCUUCAAAUUACACCCACUCACACACAAACUCGGGCAGUUUGAGCAAAAGGGCCCCCACACCACUAAGUUUUUCUCUCUUGCCUCUUGUUGCCUCCGUGGGCCAACUAGAUAUGAAUAAGA
This is a non-coding RNA of Caenorhabditis elegans, 203 nucleotides long. The record is from Ensembl. NCBI's taxonomy places the organism in Eukaryota, Metazoa, Nematoda, Chromadorea, Rhabditida, Rhabditidae.